GAUGAAGAACGUAGCGAAAUGCGAUAAGUAGUGUGAAUUGCAGAAUUCAGUGAAUCAUCGAAUCUUUGAACGCACAUUGCGCCCCUUGGUAUUCCAUGGGGCAUGCCUGUUCGAGCGUCACUUGUACCUUCAAGCUCUGCUUGGUGUUGGGUGUUUGUCUCGCCUCUGCGUGUAGACUCGCCUCAAAACAAUUGGCAGCCGGCGUAUUGAUUUCGGAGCGCAGUACAUCUCGCGCUUUGCACUCAUAACGACGACGUCCAAAAGUACAUUUUUACACUCUUGACCUCGGAUCAGGUAGGGAUACCCGCUGAACUUAAGCAUAUCAAUAAGCGGAGGA
This 337-nucleotide unclassified non-coding RNA is filed under the name soil metagenome. RNAcentral describes it as "partial contains 5.8S ribosomal RNA, internal transcribed spacer 2, and large subunit ribosomal RNA". The stretch from base 1 to 120 matches the Rfam family "5.8S ribosomal RNA", at positions 35 to 154 of the family's 154-position model. The record is from RNAcentral.